Molecule: long non-coding RNA, 1462 nt
Filed under: Cricetulus griseus (Chinese hamster)
Lineage: Eukaryota; Metazoa; Chordata; Mammalia; Rodentia; Cricetidae
Description: lncRNA (ENSCGRG00015038506.1)
Source: RNAcentral
UGGCGGGUGGGUGAAAGACCCGAGCUAACAUGGGGUUAGUUCGUUAAAUUACAAUAAAGCCUCGUGCAGUUUGCAGCAAGCUCUCGAAUCUGCCUGGUGAUUGGGGUGACCGCGAACGUGGCCUGGGACCCCGAAUACUUGAGUUUUCGGGGGUCUAACAGGCUUUGAACUUCUGAUCCUUUUGCCUGUACCUUCGGAGUACUGGGGAUAGCCUACAUGUGCUGCCACACUGGACUUACUAGCUCAGGAUCCAAACCAGAGCUUUGUACAAGCUAGGGAAGUAUUCUACUGACUGGGCUACAGCUUCUACCCCAGAACAGACUUCAAAUAUACCACCAAUUGUGAUAUGCUUCAGAAUAGCAAAAAAUGAAACAAUUCUUAAAAACGUCAAGAAAAGUCUGUUAAUCAAAAAGGAGUGUGUAUCAGACCGGUAAUGAGACUCUCCAGAAAUGCAAAAUGUUAAAAGAGAACCACCCUAAGUUUCUACAGCCAAAGAGCUGUCCAUCGCAGGCUUUGUGUCCCGACUUGACUGACCAUGGACUGUGGGCAGGGAGUUAGUCGCUCCUGAGAUACGAACCAACUUGGGUCGGUGAGUAAUUCCAUCUACUCUGGGCGUGUGACAUCUUCUUACCUGCGGGAUGGACCAGCGUUCAAUCCGUGGAGUUACUGUACCCUGCUGCCCACAGCCCGUUACAGACCCUCAAUCACCAGCCUCAAAGGAGAGCGCCCCAAGACACAGGGAGAAACACCGCCGACAGCCCGGGACUGCGAGCCGCCCACUCGCCCGCCCGCCGGCCGGCACGCGCGGGUUGGAGCCCGGCCAACCCGCAGCGCGCCCUACACACCCCACAGGCGAGCCAGCCUCCCGCCGAGAGACGCCCUCACCUCAGCCCUGGAGACUCGCGCCCUCAGCCAGCCGGCUCGGCCGCUACCACACGCCCGCCUUCCCCGGCCGGGCCAGAUGCUCAUUGGCUACAGCCCCUGCCGCUCAGCGCCUCGGACGCUCCCGCGCGUCCCGAGGCCUCCGGGUGCUGGUCGGAGAGCGCCGCCACCUGAUUGGCCAGCGCCGGCCCUCGGCGGGUCUCGCGCUAUCUGCUGUGGCCAAUGGGACUCCCCGCAGUCUAGAGAGCCGCGUCGCUGGAGCGGUGGCGCAGCUUUUGGCUCGGUCUGGCUGUUCCCCACUGCUCCUCAGUGAUUUGGGGCAGGAAAAGAUUUGGAAAGACAGAAACCAAAGAAGAUGGGAGACUGCCACCAGCAAAGACCAUUUAGAGAAGAAUUUGGGUGCAAAGAGCUUUUCUAGAGAGGGGAAGGUGAGCCUUAAAGGAAGGAGCAUGGAGCCUCCAGGCAGUGAAGAUGAUGGUCAACAAGAAGAGGUAGAGGAAAUCAAGGAUCUAUUGAAGCUGAUUGGAAGGUGGAUAAGCCUGCCUCCCAUCCAAAAAGGAUGAAAAUAAACAACACAAAA